Molecule: ribosomal RNA, 464 nt
Filed under: uncultured bacterium
Lineage: Bacteria
Description: partial 16S ribosomal RNA
Rfam family: Bacterial small subunit ribosomal RNA
Source: RNAcentral
ACGCACGCUGGCGGCGUGCUUAACACAUGCAAGUCGAACGGAAAGGCCCCUUUGGGGGUACUCGAGUGGCGAACGGGUGAGUAACACGUGAGUAACCUGCCCUUGACUUCGGGAUAACUUCAGGAAACUGGGGCUAAUACCGGAUAGGAAUCCUUGCUGCAUGGUGGGGGUUGGAAAGCUUCGGCGGUUUUGGAUGGACUCGCGGCUGAUCAGCUUGUUGGUGGGGUAGUGGCUUACCAAGGCUUUGACGGGUAGCCGGCCUGAGAGGGCGACCGGCCACAUUGGGACUGAGAUACGGCCCAGACUCCUACGGGAGGCAGCAGUGGGGAAUAUUGCACAAUGGGCGGAAGCCUGAUGCAGCAACGCCGCGUGCGGGAUGACGGCCUUCGGGUUGUAAACCGCUUUCAGCAGGGGCGAAGCUUGUGGUGACGGUACCUGCAGAAGAAGCACCGGCUAACUACGUG